Molecule: long non-coding RNA, 1537 nt
Filed under: Callithrix jacchus (white-tufted-ear marmoset)
Lineage: Eukaryota; Metazoa; Chordata; Mammalia; Primates; Cebidae
Description: lncRNA (ENSCJAG00000081377.1)
Source: RNAcentral
CUGGCAUUGAGGGGAUGUUCUGGAAGGAUUCCCAGAAAGUGGCCCUCCCAUUGACCUCAGAAGUCUGGAGCUGGCCACACCCAAGUCUCAAGCCCCAAGUCUCAAGCCCUAAGCCCUAGCCCCACUGAGGACAUCCACUCCAUCUUGGAGGCUGCAAGAAGCCAGUGUGAAGCAGUCCUAUCUUCAUAGCAGGGUCCAGCCCUGCUUGGAGAACUGAGCCAGUUUCCUUGGCUCCCUUCCUGGGGCCCCACCCUCUCUGCCACCACUCACACACACUAUGGCCACAUCCCCAAGGCCACAUGUGGACUGGGCUUUCUCUCCCUUCCCGAGCCCCUCUCAGAGGAACCCUAGCCAGGGCCAGCCUAAGCAAGCAGCUGUGGGUAGAUGACAUCCAAUUGCAAGUAUUUCUUUACCUGGGAUACCUGGGGCUCAGCUAGAAGAGCAGAGGCGAGCCAGCCCUGGAGCCAGCCAAGAUCGGGUCACUGCACUUCAGCCUGGGUGACAGAGCAAGACUCUGUCUCAAAAAAAAAAGAAAGGAGAAAGAAAGAGAGAGAGAGAGAGAAAGAAGGAAAGAAAAGAAAAGAAGAAAGAAAGAAAGAAGGAAGGAAAGAAAAAAAAGAAAGAAAAAGAAAGAAAGGGAAGGAAGGAAGGAAGGAAGGAAGGAAGGAAGGAAAGAAGGAAGGGAGAAAUAGGAAAUAGAACCCAAGUUUCUUUCUUUCUUUUCUUUAAGAGUAAAGUGAUAGCAAGUUUAUUAAGAAAGUAUAGGAAUAAAAGAAUGACAAAUCCAUAGGUAGAGCAGCCAAGAUUCUUAAGUCCCUGGUCAACGGUUUUUGUCAUUCUUCUACUGCCACCCUGGGACCUUAUUUUUUGAUGGCCAGACCUCCCUCUGAGCGACCACCUUCUCCCUUUUUUUAUGGAAUCCAGACAGGAUGUCAUUUAAGUACCUAUAUUGAGCCUCACACCCUGACUCCAAAUGCAAACUAAUAAGAAAAUAUAAAAGGAGAAAAGUUAAAAGACACAACCCCACUGAAACCAAGAUAAACAUCUUCAUGAACCAAAACCCAAGUAAAUAAAGCAUAAAAUGGGCAGCUGAAGCUUGAGCCUAUUUGGCAGCAGGUUCAGAAGGCAGAGAAUCUGUUUGAGUUUUGAUUUAACCUGAGGCAAUGGCUGAAAAAAAAUCUGCUACUGACCACUGCCACAGAGGACCAUUUGUCUGAAGCUCAUCCCAUAGAAAGAAUAGAGAGGUCAGAGGGAAAGGACAGUUUCUCCACCAACAUCUGGGCCAAGCUGCCCACUGAAUUAGUGACAGGGACAUCACCUCUCCACCAUAAGACCUUACCCUUUACUGUAAGACCAGCCUUUGGACUGGGCCUCCAAGGAUCUGGUUGAAGUAAUUGUAAAAUCACCCUCCAGGGAGGACUAAGGAUAGAGGGAAACAGAGAAAGAUAAGCCGUUCGAGAUGAGCCACAAACUGCAAUUCCAGAACAGUGAGAAAAACCAAACCUAAGCAAGAUGGCAAAAUAAAUCAGAAAUGUUU